GUGAAUCAUCGAAUUUUUGAACGCAAAUUGCACUCUCUUCGGAGAGUAUGCCUGUUUGAGGGUCAGCCUAAAAAAAAUCGACAUAGUUGCUGUUACGCGGUAAAAUUCUUCGGAAUUUGGUUCUUCUUAAACUUUUGGUUUUAGGCGGCUUAAAAUUUUCUUUAGGUUUCAAGGAACGUUUUAAGGAUUUUUUUUUUUUUUCGUUUUAGG
Molecule: unclassified non-coding RNA, 210 nt
Filed under: Glomus sp.
Lineage: Eukaryota; Fungi; Glomeromycota; Glomeromycetes; Glomerales; Glomeraceae
Description: partial contains 5.8S ribosomal RNA and internal transcribed spacer 2
Rfam family: 5.8S ribosomal RNA (bases 1-65)
Source: RNAcentral